Non-coding RNA from Cordylochernes scorpioides, 14912 nucleotides. The record is from the annotation of a GenBank genome assembly. NCBI's taxonomy places the organism in Eukaryota, Metazoa, Arthropoda, Arachnida, Pseudoscorpiones, Chernetidae.
GUAAAUUAAAUUUUAUUGCCAUCUAUCGUUAAAAUUUUACACAAAUAAAUUUACUGGCAAUGCGUUUCUUUUAAAUAUCAUCAAAUAAUUAUCUCUACAGACCUUACUGCAAUGAUGUGAGUAAUUGAAUGAGAGGGCUUGGCUCAUCAGUAGUGAACCCUCUCAGCGGUUUCGCCAAAUUAAUCUCUAGACCGCUCUACUAUUGUAUUGGACUGGUUUUGUUAUAUACCCUGCAUUAUCUAUGGAAGGCAGCUUAGGGGUGUUUAGGGGUUAAACACCCCUAAGCUGCCUUCCAUAUAAAAUGCAGGGUAUAUAACAAAACCAGUCCAAUACAAUAGUAGAGCGGUCUAGAGAUUAAUUUGGCGAAACCGCUGAGAGGGUUCACUACUGAUGAGCCAAGCCCUCUCAUUCAAUUACUCACAUCAUUGCAGUAAGGUCUGUAGAGAUAAUUAUUUGAUGAUAUUUAAAAGAAACGCAUUGCCAGUAAAUUUAUUUGUGUAAAAUUUUAAAAAAAUAAUUCAUUGUUUGACACCCAACUUUAUAGUGGACAAAGAUUUGAAUUGUUUGCUGCUCUAGAUAGAUCUUCAGAGGGAAGGUAUUACAAUGUGGGCAGCAGCUCAAAUGUGCCUAAACAGUGGCAUAUCAUUAUAGAUGCAAUUGAUAAAGCCCAAUUUGGAUUAUUAAUAUAUACAGUUAUCAGAGUCAUGCACAAUUCUGUCACCGUUUGCUUUUGUGAAUGGAAUAAAUACCCAAAUAUGGCCAUUUCUUAUAAGCAUCGGUGGUUCAGUGGUAGAAUGCUCGCCUGCCACGCGGGCGGCUCGGUUUCGAUUCCCGGCCGAUGCAUUUUUUUUUUUUUUUACAAUUUUUAAAACUCAUUUAUAUUAUUAUUAUUUUUUUUUUUGCUUAUCCCUAGUACAUGUGGUACAGGCCAUGAUAAUCAUGGUGGGUACUUAGUGACUGCUUUUACUGUAAGCGCACCACAUGUCUAUACAUGUGAAAAGCAGUUCGACUUUGCACUUACAAAUGCCAGAGCCCCUUUUGGUUACUUGCACUCGCUGGUGGGGUUGGACUUUUGCAAGAAUCGGGGGCCAUUGGAGCAUUUUUUUUUUUUAAACAGAAAAAAGUGUCUAAUGCGGGAAUCGAACCCGGGUCCUAGUGGUCGAAAACCAAACGGUUUAACCAGCCUUCCACCAACCCCCAUAUUAUUAUUAAAAUAUACAAGUAUCAGAGUCAUCAAUUCUGUCAUCGUUUGCUUUUGUGAAUGGAAUGCUUUUACGUAAUAUACGUAAAAUACGUAACUAAUAUGACUGAAAUUUUAGCAGUAUGUAUAGUAGAAUCUGGAAAAACUUAUAUUGAAUAUUUCAGGUCUCUAUCCCAAAUAUUCUUCGAGUUAUUUGCAAAUUUGCUCUUUCGCUCGCAAGCAGGGCCUCUAGCGGUGAAGAUGGGAGGUAAUAUCAGCUGACCUAAUGUACAUGUAAAACGUGUUUUAACAGGACAUAGAAAAAAAUAUGGAAGAGAUAUUCGCCGCAUUUUUAGCCAAGAAAAAUUGAAAUUGACAGGUUCUGGGCAAAAAUAGUUGUUUUUUUUUUAGUCAGAAAAUGAUUAUGACAAUAUUGCUGUAUCAUAUUUGAUUAUCAGAUACAAAAUUAUAUCCGGAAAAAUUCCAAAAAGCAGAGACCACGGGUGAAGCCAGUUCAUUUUUAGUAUGCAGGAACAAAAUUCUAACAGAAAAACAUUCAUUUGAGCAGAAGACACAAAGCCAGAUCAUCUCUUUAUAAAAAUAUCGCUUCUCAGACUCAAAGUUUGGAGUGGGACGUUUCACAAGAAUGACAUCCAUGGCGCCAAUUUAUAAUUGUAACGAAUAGUAUUUGAAUAAAAGCAUUUAAUCGGGUAAAACCUGGGCGUUGCCCGGGUCAUUUGGCUAGUAGAUUAUAGCUACAAGAAAAUAAGAUCUAGUCCAAAUAAUUAAUUAUUAUUAAUAUUAAUUUCAUUUGGACUAAGUCUUAUUUCAUGUAGCCAUUAGAUCAAUAAUGUAAUUCUAAAGAGAUAUUCUAAUUAAUUUUCUGGGUGAGUAGUUGCAUAUAUUGCCUUUUUCUUAAUAUUUUUCUCAGUAAAGCAAAACAGCAUGAAAAAGUCAUAGAGGAAUUGUAUUUUUUUCUCAUGUAUGAAAUAUGAGGAUAGAGAGGUACAUGAAGCCUUUGUGCGAAGUAAUCUAAAAUCAAGAAUUGUACAGUAGAUAUGCUGACAGAGACUUGGGAGAGAACCCUGCACUCACCUCCACAAAGGAGAUGGGGAAUAUCCCAAUCUUGUCUCCAAACUUUCCCUCUGCCCAGUUCUCAUCCACCUGUCGGAUCACAUGGAUUCUGUCCCCCUGCACCAUCCAGGCGAGGUCAGACACACAGUUCACAUUACUACAGUACAACAGAUACUCUAUAAGAGGACACUCCAAUUAGAGGAUACCUCUCUACAAAGGACAGUUUUCAUCUCCAAAAUUACCAAUUAACAACUCUCCAGUAAAGGACACUUUGGCUAUACAACUAGGUGUUGUCCUUCACAGGUAGGUAGAUCUAUUGUACUACAAAUAAAUAGGGCACACAUUACUGAGGGAAUAAAAAAAAAUCAAAGAAGUAGACAAAGACACCAAAUAAGUUAAGCAUGUAAACUUUUUUUUUCUUUUGUUUAUCCCUAGUACAUGUGGUACAGGCCAUGAUAAUCAUGGUGGGUAGAAGUAGGCGACUGCUUUUACUGUAAGUGAACUAUGGCUAUAACAAACCAUGACUAUAGUGAACCAUAGGUUCAGUACCAUUGAGGUUCGUCAUAGAGGGGUUUUACUGUGUUUUUAAAACAAAAAAUAAAGUUUACUAAAUAAAUAUAUAUAAUAUGGGAGGAUACCUUGGAGAAAUGUAGGCAGUCCUUGGUGGUGUCGGAGGGGGAGAAGUCAUAGAGAGCCUGGCACUGGGGUGGGCCCAGGGAGGAGUGCACCUGCAGCAUGGAGGCCUGCACGAUGCCCACCUUGCCCCCCAUCUCCCCCUGGUACCACAGGGGGCCGGCUCGCCCCCGCAGCCCGAUCAUAUCUCCCUUCCUGAAGGACAGAUGCCUGCACAAGUCAACCCAACUCUAGGUAUGAACUGGUACAAUCUGGAUUAUAGAUAAGAAUCACAAGAUCAACUGGUCUAACAAUUUACAUAUUUACUUCAGAUAAAUCACAAAUAGAAGUUCAACCGGCACUGUCAAGCAGAGCUGAAUGCACCACUUGGUUGCUUUGAUCAGUUUUGCUGGCUGUAGGUUUACUCCUGGUAUGCUCCUCAUUUUGGACAUUUCGAAGCCAAUUUGGAAAUAUUUGAACCACUCAGGAACUGUUGUGUGACAUAUUUUUCAAAACCUUGCCGAAAUCAUAAUUUUUGAAAUAUAUUUGCCAAUUGUUGUUGUUGUUGUUUCUUAUCCCCUUGUGUAAAGAUUACACGAAUUCCAUGAGUUCAUGCUCCUCGAGCUGUUUUAUGAUGAGCAGCGGCCUCUCCCAAAGGUCCUGUUUAGUGCAAUAUUUGCCAAUAAAUAUCAAAUAUGAAAAUAUUUACAAAGAGCUUCUUUCUUAUUUAAAAGGGGCAAGCUUUCAUGUAAUCAUGCUUCAAUGAACCUGCAAAGGCAGGCAACAUACAUACAAAAUCUAGAUUCACAAAAUAACCUUUGGGAGAGGCAGAUGUUUAUCAUCAAACAGCUCAAGGAGCAUUCUUCAUGGAAUUUCUGUAACCUUUGCAUAAGAGAAUAAAAAAUAAGAGAUUCCCAAAAAAAAAAAAUUUUUUUUUAAUGUUCUGUUGUUGUUGUUGUUUCUUAUCCCCUUGUGUAAAGAUUACACGAAUUCCAUGAGUUCAUGCUCCUCGAGCUGUUUUAUGAUGAGCAGCGGCCUCUCCCAAAGGUCCUGUUUAGUGCAUGUGAUAUAUGGGAAAAGGAUCCUGAGAAUCUUGUCGACUCUCUAUAAUAUAAAAAAAAUGCUUGUCGACUUCACUGUGAUAAAGUGCUUUGUCCUGAGAAUCCUCGGGAGUGGAUGGGGUUUUGUAUGUUUGGGCAGUCGUUAUCGAUGGCGGUGGAUGAAAAAUCGGCACACUAUAUCGAUUAAUGAAUCACAAAACACCUCGGAAUAUUAAUCAUUGGCGGCUCGGGAGAGGAGAUGGAAGGAUUUUCGCGAUUAAAUUGGAUUGAGAUGACUCACAUCUUGGACCUCGAGGCACUACUUUUAGAAGAUGCACACACACGUCUUGACACACACGUUACACCGACCGAACUCCGGUUGCCCCACCCCCCGGCUUGGGUCAUGUGGGACCCUGCUUGACCUUUGAUUGGUCCCUGUCUCUGUCGGCCAUGAUGGUGAAUUUGGUCGGGAAGGAGCUUUGCCUAACAUCCCAAUCUCUCAGGACAUUCAACUCUGGAAUAUGAGGGCCUCUUUGUUCUAAGUGACCUAGAUACACGACUUGGAUCUGUCGUUCUUUUCUCUUCUACUUCUUCCAUCUCCACGUCCUUUGACUGCCAUCUUUAUUUGAAUCCAUACAGAAUACAUUAUAUCCAACAUGGUACAUAAUUAUUUAUUAGACAAUAUUCUUUAUAAUAUUACAGAUGCGCCCCCUAUGAAUAAGAAUUUUAAAAGGGAUCUGUAUUAAAUUCUGAAAAAAGAAAAAUAAUUUUUUGGGAAAGAAAAAAAAAUAAAAUUUUUUAAAAUAGUGAGUGGUUAGAUACAAUUGGGGAGAAAGUAAAUGAUGGAAAUAAGUAAUAAAAAGAAAUUUGAGUAGAUAGGGGUGCUUGCUAAACUAGGAAAAAAUAUGAUAAUUUUUUAGAGGAAAAAAAAAUUUUGCCUGCAUAGGUGUUCAAUCUUGCUGUGUGGAAACCCACAGCAAGGGAAACUCUAUGAGGUGCAAUCCAAACAAAACAUAUAAGACAUUAACAGAAAUAAAAGAAAACUAUAGACAAUAAAAUUUGGAGAUGGAGGAAAAAAAAAAGAAAAAAGAAAUCUGAUUAGCCUUUGGGGCGGUGAAAAAAUAUAAACAAAACAUAAAAAAAAAAAAGAAAUCAAAGCUCCUGUAUGAUAAACUGAAGGCUGAUACAUGAGAAGUAUUGCGUCAGGUCAGUUGUUCAUUCAGUUAGGACAAAACAAGGUUUAAACAAUAAAAGGAAAAAAUAAACUUGAGGUGAUUAAGAAAUUGAAAGGGUGAUAGACAUGGAUGGUGGGAAUAAAAAAUUAAAAUAAAAAAAAAUAAAAGUGCUGGUUGUGUACAAGUCUUUUAAAAUUGGUUAACAAAAAUAUACACAAAAGAAGAAUAUUUUUUUACAUAACAAUGUCCAAUCUUUGUUUAUUAUAGGGUCGUAGGUCAUAAGGUUGCCAAAACUAUAUAGGUGCGUGAAUGUAUGCGAGUGUGUGUGAGUGUAUGUUCCAGAAAGUAACUUUAAGUGUGGUGACACGCGAAAAGUGACGGCGGGUUUGUUUACAUUCCGCAGGGAGGAUGUGACGUCAGUCACGUGAUCGGAAAGGACGUGACGUCGGCGCGGCGGAAGGUUUCUGUAAAGUGGACGCCAGCUGACAGCGGGGUGAUCGAUGAGUGAUGUAAAGGUGGGGAGAUUGCUAUUCGACUUGGCGCGCUCUAAAGAGGGUUUGGAAAAUCUCUCCUAUGAUUUCACCUAUUAGAGCGACCAAGGCAUGACUGUGGACAAGGAUGGUCCAUAACUCCGGGAGAAUUAUUCCUAUGGUUCGAUGGAUUAGUUCCACUACGGCGAUGGUUAUUUCGAAUAGGGCUUCCUGUAGUUGGAAGAGACGGUUGGGCUGCAGUGUAUAGACACUGACAUACAGUAGGGUGGCCAUGGGUAAUAGUACAGUGGGUAGGAUGAAAAGGUUGAUGAGGUAUAGGAGGUGGAACAAGGGGAAGGUUUUCACGUUAUGAAAAAACCUUGCCUGUAAGGGAAUUGGUUUGGGAUCAGCCCUAACUGUAGGGAUUGGGGUUUUAACUUUGGUUAUAUGGGUUGGACGGGAUAUUGCAGGUUGGGGAAUAUCGCGUUGGGCGAUAACGUUACAUUGUGGGUCAACAGGGGUGGUAGUGGUACAAUUGCCUAUUGUAGGAGCAAAGCGCUCAACUGUAAAGAGGUCUGGGGUGAGGUGCUCGAACAGUGGUGGUAGCGUCCUAGAUUGGGGUUUAGCAGGGUGUGGUAUCAGAGUGGGAGGUGCGAUAUAACGAAUAUUUUCGUUAUAGUACUGUAAUUUAUUUACAUGGACUGUGUCGGUAUUCCGAUUUAGAGGUUGGUUGGGUCGGUUUAUUCUCACCACGUUGGGAGAGAUGAUCUCUAAGAUCUCGUAGGGACCCGUGAAAUACGGAGCCAGUUUGCCUGUAUUGGGGUGAUGGUAAACUUUUACCAACACGAGAUCUCCGGGUUCAAAAUGGGGUGUCUUAUGUUGUUGGUCGUAGGCAUGUUUGUCUUUGAGGUGCUUGGCCUGGGUACGUUCAUGGGCUAUCCGUCGGGCUGUGGUUAAAACGGGGUAGGGUUUUACAUGCUCAGUGAGCUCGGGAGGUAGAACGCCGAACAUCAGGUAGCCAGGUGGGAACCCGGUAACUGAGUGGGGCGUGUUGUUAUACACCACAGUAACGCGCUUCGCCAGCUUAGUCCAUGCGGCUUUGGGGUUUUCCAAAUGGAGUAACCUUAGUUUGCCUGUUAAGGUAGCGUUCAGGCGCUCGCAUAGACCAUUAGCUUGGGGGUUGUUACUGGUGGUGAGCAGGGGAUGGAUGUUCCUGUUAAUCAGGAACUUCCUGAACUUUGGUGAGGUGAACGCAGGCGCUCUAUCCGUGAGUAGGCGUUUCGGAGAGCCGUCCUGCAACACUCGCUUUAUCACCUGUUGAUAGGUGGUGAUGCUGGUAGAUUUUGAGGGGAAGGUCCACGUGUAGCGCGAAAAGUGAUCCACCACAACGUGGAGGUAAGCUUUGGCGUUACCAUAUUUGGCAAGUCCAGCUAUGGUGUCGAGGGCGACCAGGUCAAAAGGCUGAGUGGCCACAGGAAGUUGUCCUAGUUCCCCAAACGUGGGACCUCGAGGGGGUUUUGUUGACUGACAGAUGGCGCAGGCUUUGGUGGUUUUGGAGAUGUCUUCUGACAUCCCCUUCCAGUAGUACUGGGGAGAGAUGAGCCUGGUCAUCUGGGAUAUGCCCGGGUGGUUGUACCGACUGUGCACCUUUGUUAGUAGGUCGGGAACGAGGGCGUCAGGGACGACAAUUUUGGUUACACCUCUACGCUUUAGGGUUUGCAGUCCGUUUCGAUCAAUGGUCAGUUUAGAUUCUCCCGAAGGAGUGAGUUGGUGGUUCUUAAUGAGGGUGGCGUCUAAGAAUCCACAAAACGGGUUACGGGAUAGGAGGUCCGCUUCAUGUUGUUGUGCUCCUUUUAUGUAGCGGACUUCGUAUUCGUAACACGAUAACCUCAAACUCCAUCGGAAUAAUCUGCCUGACGGGUUUUUGAUCGUCUUCAGCCACUGCAGUGCGUGAUGGUCAGAAAAUAUGGUGAAUUUUCUGCCCAUUAGAUACACACGGAACUUCUCCACGCUCUCGACAAUGGCGAGGCAUUCUAGUUCGGAGAUGGUGUAGUUCCGCUCGUGUACACGCAGAGCGCGGCUGAAAUAUUGGACUGGGUAGGCCUUCCCAGCGGAGUGGACUUGUUUGAGGACGCCUGCAAUGCCAAGUGUUGAUGCAUCGCAAUAUACCUGGCAUGGUAGUUCAUCCUUGUAGAGGUGCAAUACGGGGUGUUGUGUGAGGCUUUCCUUCAGGCUGGUGAACGCCUUUUGGCAUUUGUCAUCCCAGUCCCACGUCACAUCCUUCUUGAGAAGGUUGUUGAGUGGGGUCCGCAAACGGGCAUAGUCCGGGAUGAACUUAUUAUAGACGUUCACGGCGCCUAAGAAGGAUUGCAGCGUUUUGCGAUUGUUCGGGGGUGGGAUAGCGUGGAUUACGUCGGUAUUGCGGAUAAGUGGGGUGGUGGUACCAGCGGUGAUUGUGUACCCCAGAAAUUCGAUGGUCUGCCUAAAAAACUCGCAUUUGGUGAGGUUGAGUUGCAAGUUCUCCGCGUCGCAGAACGCGAAAAACUUGCGCAGGUGUUCUUGGUGUUCCUCCAGUGUCUCCGAAUAGAUGACAAAGUCGUCAAAAUAGUGCGCCACACAAUCAAGUCCGUGCCCCUGCAGGACCUGAUUGAUUGCCCUUUCAUAGAUCUGUGGACUGGUCUUAAGUCCGAAAGGCAAUCGGGUGGGCUGAUACAACCCGUCUAUCGUGGCGAAGGCCAACAGUGGUCGAGAAUCAGGGUGUAUCGGCACUUGCCAAUAUGCGGAGGAGACGUCGGCAGUCGAGAAAUACUUGGCCCGCGCGAGACGGUCCAGUAUAUCUUCGAUCCUCGGGAGUGGAUGGACAUCGGAGCUUAUGACCUCGUUCACCUUCCUAUAGUCGAUACAAAACCUUUUGGUCUUGUCUCGCUUGGUCACUAGGGUGACCGGGCUAGAGAAAGGGGAGUAGGACGGCUCAAUGAUGUCAUUAUCCAACAUCUGUCGGAUCUGACUGCGUAUUUCCCGUUGGUCGCAUAUCGGUACCCUAUAUGGGCGGAUGGUGACGACUUUGUCGGAGUUGGUGGCGAUUCUUACUGGGGGAACCUUUAGGCAUGGGACCGCGAAUUUGUUCCGGGAGAACACGUGUUGGUAUUGGCGCAAUAGCGCCGGGAAUUGAGGUGGAUACGGUGGCUGCGGUUGAUUGUCUAUGGGGAUCCCUGGGAGGUGUUCUGGUGAUGAUGGGUGGUGUGUGUGGUACAUGGAAUGGUGUGUGGAAUGGGGAUGUUUGGGUGUAUGGUGAAGGUGGUCCGUUUGGACCUUGGUGGGGUGUGAGAGGUUGGCAUUGGGUGGUUGUUCUGGUACCUUGACCCUAUAAUAAGAGCAGUUGGCUCUAAAAAAGUUCUUUGAUUGGACAUGGUGCGGUGGUUGGGUGAGUCCCUGGGUUGUGGACGUGUUGUCCGAAAAAUGCGCAUAUUGGGUAUUGUUGGCGGAAGGCGGAAAAAUAGUGUGGGCCUUGCAUAGGUCCGCCUGGCAUUCCCAAUAUGUGCACCUUUCGGGCAACACAGCAAAGUGGUAGGUCAGGGGCGACAAAGGUGCGUCGAGUUGGUACAUAGUGCCAUGUGCAAAAUCGAUUUUUAAUUUGAAUUUACGGAGGGUAUUAAUACCAAGUAUUCCAAAUGGUAGAGGGGCGUCCACCACGUGGAAUACUUCGUUUUGGGUUAUGGCAUGAAUGGACAGGGGGAAGGUAAUCUGGCCUAUUGUUGGCACGUGGCCAUCUAUUGUCUGUAAAUUUAUUAUUUUUUUAGUUAUUAAAUUUAGGUCAGGGAAAUUAUUCUUUAAAUUUUUAUAUAUGGCACAUGACACUAGGUUAACGGACGCACCCGUGUCUAUCAGGAAUGGUAGGGACAGUCCAUGGGAGAUUGGCAGUCUAAUUGUCAGGUUGACGAAAGGCCUGGUCAGUAGGCCUACCUGCUGGCUGCUGGUCUGGGGCUCCCUUGGUUAUCCCAGUGGCUUGUGCGCGUGACGCUUGGUGAUGGGGCUGGGCUCGCGGCCGUUGUUCCGCUAGUUGCGCGGAGCGCGCUGCUCGUGCGUCUCCGGAGGCACGGGGCAACUGCGGGGCUUGUCUGAGACGACACUCAGAGUGCCAGUGUAGUCCACCACAAAAACGGCAGUCUGUUGGCGGGGUCGACCUGGUUGGCACUGUUCUUGGACUAGGUCGCACCGGUGCGUAGGGGCCCAGUAGGGGUGGUGCGUGCUCGUCUGGGUGCCUUGGAGAUGGUGCGCCGCUGCCGCGGAUCCGCUGCACCAGCCGGAACCAUGCACCUAGGUUCUCUGGCGGCACAAUGCGGACGAGGCGCUGGUCGGAGGGUGGCAGCCCCUCGGUGAGCGUCUCCAAGAUGACCUCUUGUGGGAGGCCCAGUUGUAGACCCAGCGCGGUCUUAUUCCGAUAGUAUUCUUCCAGGUUGGGCUGUCCGGCCAGCUUCAUGGAGAAGUAUUGGGCAUACGUGGCCUCAUUGGUCUCCGGAUAGAGAUCCAGGAAGGUCUGUCUCACCUGGAUGUAAUGUUGGGUCUCCAUCCGAAGCCUCCUGAAGUGUUCUAGCGGUUUGUUGUUCAGGUAACGGGGUAGGCGGAGCACUUUUUCCGUGUUGGUGAGACCAUCCCAGUCUGUUUUCUGGUCAUAUGUCCGAAAGAACUGGGCGGCUGGGUAGGUCCCGUCGAAGCUCUGGACUUCUAUCUCCGUCCGAUGGGUCACGCGGUCGCUGGUGGUCUGAAGGGCAGAUAAACACGCCGCGAGGCGUGCCAAGACGGCCGGCAACUCUGCCGACGGAGGGGGUGGUUCUAUUUUGGGAGUACUUACGGCGGGGUUGUUUUCUCCCUCUGCGGUGUCUUCCUCCGCGUUUUGCGUUUCGUUUUUCUCGUCCAUCCUGUCGACUCUCUGUGAUAUAUGGGAAAAGGAUCCUGAGAAUCUUGUCGACUCUCUAUAAUAUAAAAAAAAUGCUUGUCGACUUCACUGUGAUAAAGUGCUUUGUCCUGAGAAUCCUCGGGAGUGGAUGGGGUUUUGUAUGUUUGGGCAGUCGUUAUCGAUGGCGGUGGAUGAAAAAUCGGCACACUAUAUCGAUUAAUGAAUCACAAAACACCUCGGAAUAUUAAUCAUUGGCGGCUCGGGAGAGGAGAUGGAAGGAUUUUCGCGAUUAAAUUGGAUUGAGAUGACUCACAUCUUGGACCUCGAGGCACUACUUUUAGAAGAUGCACACACACGUCUUGACACACACGUUACACCGACCGAACUCCGGUUGCCCCACCCCCCGGCUUGGGUCAUGUGGGACCCUGCUUGACCUUUGAUUGGUCCCUGUCUCUGUCGGCCAUGAUGGUGAAUUUGGUCGGGAAGGAGCUUUGCCUAACAUCCCAAUCUCUCAGGACAUUCAACUCUGGAAUAUGAGGGCCUCUUUGUUCUAAGUGACCUAGAUACACGACUUGGAUCUGUCGUUCUUUUCUCUUCUACUUCUUCCAUCUCCACGUCCUUUGACUGCCAUCUUUAUUUGAAUCCAUACAGAAUACAUUAUAUCCAACAUGGUACAUAAUUAUUUAUUAGACAAUAUUCUUUAUAAUAUUACAUGCAUCUAAUGCAAGCCAAAAUGUGUUCUGGAGCUGCAGGUACCAAACUACAUUUUGGGCAAGUGGGAUAAAUUUUGUUAUUAUUUUCUAUCUUCAAUGGCUUGAGAUGGCCUGUUCUAAAUCUUGUUAGUGUUGUUUGAUGCUGUCUAUUUCUGAUCUUCAGAGCUUCUCCUGGGUUCACUCCACUGUACCAACUGUGCUUAGGUGGGAUCCUCCAGUUCUUGUUUAUUUUUGUUUUGGCUAUUGUUUCUAUUUCUUUAAAAGUAAGUUUAUUUUUCUGUGGCAUGGGUUCUUUUGUGCCUUUUUUCGCUAGCACAUCAGCAGCUUCAUUGCCUUCAAUGCCAACGUGUGAGGGUAUCCAUUGAAGGUGAAUUUUUGAGGUUUUUGAGAGUUUUUGGAGAUAACCAAUUAUGUUCCUGCUUACUUUGUCUCUGAGUUCCCCUGUGUGACUCAAGUGUUGUAUGGCACUUCUACUAUCAGUAAGAAUCCAGAUAUCUUGAUAAUUAGUAUUUCUGAUGGAUUUUUAAGGCUUCAUAGAUGGCUAUAAGUUCUGAUCUGAAGACUGAGCAAAAAUCUGGGUUUCUUCUGUUCAUUUUCUCAAUGCUAUUUGUGGUUUUGAUGAGACAGCCACUGCCAGUGUGUCCUAGCUCGUCUCUGCUACCAUUGGUAUAGAUAGUUAUUGCAUUUUUAGGAAUGUUAUUAAUUAUUUCUGAUGAUAAUUGUUUUAAGUAUUCUGGAUUUUGGUAUUGUUUGUUGGUGGGUUCAUUUAAAGUGGCAUUAAAAGUAACAUUUUGUAGUGGUUUGCAUGGAGAAAUUUUUUCUGCUAAAUAAUUUUUUUCCACUUUAUAUUUUAAAAAUUCAUUUCUUUUGGCCAGGUGUAGAGGGCCUUCUUUUUUGAGUCUUAAAUUGGAUUCCCAAUUAAGUAUGUACUUGGAAGUUCUGUGUUUGUUUCCAUAACUCUUGAUUUUGUUUAUAUAUUUUGGCAGAUUGUAGCUUCUUCUAUCCUUUAAGGGCAUAAUGUCUGCCUCGUAAAGUACAAUAUCAUUAGGGCAGGUAUUUCGAAGACCUGUAAUAAUUCUAGCUGCACUUAGUUGUAUCCUUUCCAGUGAUUUUAGAUUUGUUUCAGAUGCUGUACCAUAGAUUUGAUAUCCAUAUUCCAGGAUAGGUCUAAUUAGAGAUGUGUAAGUUAAUUUUAGUGUGGUUGCAUCGGCUCCCCACUCUCUUCCUGAAAUAUAUUUCAGGAUUUUUAGUCGGUCUCUUCCUUUUCUAAUAACUUCUUCAAUAUGUUUACUGGAGUUAAUUUCUGGAUCCAGGGUGUAGCCAAGAUAUUUAGGAUGUUUAUUAUAUUGCAAUUGUUGUUCUUUCAGAAUAAUUUUUGGUCUUAUUUUGUAUAGUUUCUUAUCGGUAGUAAAAAGACAGGUUUCAGAUUUUUGGGGGUUAAAUUCUAAUUUAUGUUUAUUAGCAAAUUUUUCUAGGUGGAAAAGAGUCUUGUUCAAAUCUCUUUCGGCUUUUUUCCAGUUAGUAUUGCUGCUCCAUAGAAUAAUGUCAUCAGCGAAAAGUCCAAUAUUGGUUUUAUGUGAAAUUUUUUCUUCUAUGCCUGCAAUAAAUAGGGUGAAGAGAGUUGGGCUAAGGACUGAUCCUUGUGGUAAUCCUUGGUACAAUUUGAAGGUUUUAGAUAGAGUGCCAUUAUAUUUGACCCUGAUGUAUCUAUUUUUAAGGAAAUCAUUUAUCCAAGUGAUAGCUUUUCCAUCAAUUUUGAAAUGUUUGUAUAAUUUUGUAAUUAACUUGUUUUUCCAUACCUUAUCAAAAGCUUGUGUAAGGUCUAAAAAAGCAGCUAUUGUGUGGUUAGUUGGUUUUCUAUUUUGUGCAUCUUUUACCUUUUGUGUGAAAAAUAAGAGUUGGUCUAUGGUCCCAUGUCCUUUCCUAAAUCCAUAUUGUUCUUUUGGUAAGAGAUUUCUUGUGACGAGGUGGUAGGUGAGUCGUCUGAGUAUAAUUUUUUCCAUUAAUUUGCAGCAAAUACUUGUGAGGGAGAUAGGUCGAUAGUUUUUUGGGUCAUCAGCAGAUUUGUCAAGUUUUUUAAUAGGAAUUAUUGUUGCAGUUUUCCAGUCUUGAGGCAAUUUUCCAGUUUUCCAGGAGUUAUUGAAAAUAUCAAGAAGUUUUUCUUUGCCAUUUUUGCCCAAGUUUGAUAUCAUUUGGCCAUGGAUUCCAUCUGGCCCAGGAGUCUUGUUCAGGUCAGUGUUUUCUAAUGCAUAAUCUAGCUCUUUCAUAUUGAUUUUUUCAUGGAAAAUAUUAUGAGUGCUAGUGACGUUUUUACAGUCAUGGAUAAUCUUUCGGGCCUUUUUUUCAACUUUCUUAUCUUUUAUUUCAAAUUUGAUUUUACUACUUAUUUGAUAUGAAUUACCUAAAAGAUUAGCAGCAUUUUUGUCAUUAGUUGCUGGGGUACCAUCUGUAUUCUUAAUCAUAUUUGUGUUUUCAGUUUGUGGCUGGGCUCUGUCAAUUUGUUUUGCCAAAUGCCAAAGUUUUGUAUUUGGGUUUCUUGGGUUCAGGUUUUCACAAGUUUGUUUCCAUUUUUCCCUUUUCAUAUUUACAUAUAAUCUUUUUAUUUUUGCAUUCACAAUGUUCAAUUCAGUUCUACAAUUUGUUUGGUUUUGGGUGCACUUUUUUUGUAGUUCAUUUCUUUUAGUUAUAAGUGUUUGAAUAUCUUUUGCCUGGUGUGUAUAAUUUGGAAUCCAUUUCUUAAUAUUACCUCUUGGUAUUGAAACUUUGGCUGCUUUAAUAAUGGUGUUUUUGAAAGAUAUCCAAUUUUGUUCCAGAUCUUUAUUCUUGUGGGUGCUUUUCUAAAGUCUUCAUUGGUGUUUUGCUGGUAAAGAUUCCAAUUAGCCUUUUUGAAGUUCCAGAAUUUUUCUUUAAUUGAGCUGGUUUUGGUCUUGGUGCUAAUUUCUAUCAAAAUAGGCAAAUGAUCACUUCCAAUACUUUUUAAUAUUUGCCAUUUGCAUUUGUGGAAAAUGUCAGGACUGGAGAAACUUAUAUCAAGGGCUUGCGCGGUAUUAUAACUGUAGGAAUGGUGGGUAGGAUUCCCAUCAUUUAAGCACAUGAAGGCAUUGUCGUCAAAUAAGUUUGAAAGUAUUUUGCCUCUUGGGUUUGGCGUGGAACAUCCCCAUAGUUGAUGUUUGGCAUUAAGGUCACCUACAAUAAUAGUGUUGUCUGUAAGAAAUUGAGCCAUUGUUCCAUCGUCAAUAAGUUUAUUGUUUGGUGGGUGAUACAUAUUGAAUAUGUUGAUGGUUUUGUUUUGAUUGAGGUAGACUUUGAUACCUUGGGCUUCGAGGUCUGAUGUGUUUGGAAUAUUAAUGGCUAUGUCUUCAUAGUACAAAUUCUUGAUUAAAAAUGCAAGGCCACCCCCUUCUUUAUUUCUGUCUUUUCUGAGGAUAUUGUAGUUUUUAUAUUUGAGAUUGUACUUUUCAUUUAAUUUGGUUUCCUGUAGGGCUAUAAUUUGUAUAUUUUGUUUUUCAGCUAUUUCCAUUAUUUCUUCUAAUUUUAUUUUUGUUGCUGUUGAGCACAAUCCAUUUAUGUUGCACUGUAGAAUGCUCAAUUGCUUGGAAGUUGCAAAGUGUGAAGUUUGUGGAGACUGUAUUAUACUUAUCGGACAGAACCCUCUACCUAAGUCCUGAACGCGCCCCUGUUUAUUCUGCGCGACGGGCGAUGCAGCAUGCAAAUCAACAUCUGAUCUCAUGGAAUGGGGUAUAGGGGUGCA